Molecule: long non-coding RNA, 247 nt
Filed under: Olea europaea (common olive)
Lineage: Eukaryota; Viridiplantae; Streptophyta; Magnoliopsida; Lamiales; Oleaceae
Description: long non-coding RNA (OEUR_LNC008907)
Source: RNAcentral
UUUAAUGGAUAGCAAAAUCUAUUUCGAUUACUUAUUGUAAUCUCAUCUUGAUAUAUCACCAAGGUGACCGGAUCAUGUACACAACUUGAUCACUUUAUUUCAUCUCAGCACACCUCAAAAUGUCUAAGACGAUUGUUCGUGUGAGUGAACCAAUCUCAACCUAUUCGAUAUACUUUAUACGUACAUGCCAUUCAUUAUCUCGUAAUCUCAAUAUUAGAUUACACAUGAACUCAAACACUUUCAUCUA